CUGCGGCCUGGCCGCUACUUGGAGGCGGGCUCCCGGCUGGGCCCCGAUGGGCUAGCCCUGGCCAUGGAUCGGGCGCUGCAGGAGAGGAAGCUCGGCUCAUCCAUGAGCAGGGAGGAGUUCCUAAGGAAAGCCACCGCGCUGUUCAUUGCAAAGGUGAAGCCUGUGGAGUGAUGUUGAGUGGGAGCAGCGCUGGCUGCGGCCGCUGUUGACCCCACUGAGCUGAACGCACCUCGCCCAGCCAUGGCUCCUCUGGCCCAGCCGCAUUGCGAAGUCCCUUUCAGGUGUUGUCCAGAACUGGCACGAGGACUAUGACCUGCAGGGCAGCUCUGGGCAGUGAAUCAAGCCAGAAGGAACGAAGCUGGGCCAUGGCUGCAUUGGGACAGCUCCGUGAGCGUCAUAUCUGGACAAGACACAUCCCCUUCCCCUGGGACGGGGUUUGCUUUGGCACCAGCUGUGUGUCAGGCCAGGGGUUAUUUAUUUGAACUUUUGUUUGUUAUUUAUACUGUGCAAUUGCUGGUUUGCUGUAAGAUAUUAAAUCUUUUUAUUAUUU
This is a long non-coding RNA of Manacus vitellinus (golden-collared manakin), 550 nucleotides long. RefSeq lists it as uncharacterized. Lineage: Eukaryota; Metazoa; Chordata; Aves; Passeriformes; Pipridae. The transcript is spliced from 2 exons. The record is from RefSeq and is a predicted model, not a curated record.